GAUGAACGCUAGCGGGAGGCCUAACACAUGCAAGCCGAGCGGUAGAGAUUCUUCGGGAUCUUGAGAGCGGCGUACGGGUGCGGAACACGUGUGCAACCUGCCUUUAUCAGGGGGAUAGCCUUUCGAAAGGAAGAUUAAUACCCCAUAAUAUAUUGAUCGGCAUCAAUUAAUAUUGAAAACUCCGGUGGAUAGAGAUGGGCACGCGCAAGAUUAGAUAGUUGGUAGGGUAACGGCCUACCAAGUCAAUGAUCUUUAGGGGGCCUGAGAGGGUGAUCCCCCACACUGGUACUGAGACACGGACCAGACUCCUACGGGAGGCAGCAGUGAGGAAUAUUGGACAAUGGGUGAGAGCCUGAUCCAGCCAUCCCGCGUGAAGGACGACGGCCCUAUGGGUUGUAAACUUCUUUUGUAUAGGGAUAAACCUUUCCACGUGUGGAAAGUUGAAGGUACUAUACGAAUAAGCACCGGCUAACUCCGUGCCAGCAGCCGCCGCGG
Molecule: ribosomal RNA, 495 nt
Filed under: uncultured bacterium
Lineage: Bacteria
Description: partial 16S ribosomal RNA
Rfam family: Bacterial small subunit ribosomal RNA
Source: RNAcentral